Molecule: long non-coding RNA, 3674 nt
Filed under: Homo sapiens (human)
Lineage: Eukaryota; Metazoa; Chordata; Mammalia; Primates; Hominidae
Description: HSALNT0102201
Source: RNAcentral
CUUACAUCGGAAUCUCAUUACUUGGGUGGGACUGCCAAGAUGAAUAGACAUAAUCCUCGAUCUAACCACUUCACAGUUUAUCAUCGGAGUCAAGUUUGCAGAUAAACAAUUGCCAUGCAACUUUCAAGAGACGGGGUGUCAUCCUGUUGCUCAGGCUGGUCUCAAACUCCUGGCCCUAAGUGAUCCUCCUGCCUCAGCCUCUCAAAGUGCUGGGAUUACGGGUGUGAACCUAAUCGCAGAGAAAAUGGUGCCUGAGAUGAGCAAGGUCAGCAGACAAGAAGUGAGGUCAAUGUCAGGUUUCCAUGCCAGCAGCGGGAACUCUGGAUACAGUGGAGAGUCACAGCUGGUCAAACCCUGAACCGCUUGCUCCUUGAAAUGGCCAGAGAGGCCCAUCCCAGAGCCAUCUCAUCAUCUCUCCUCAGACAGGAAACCGAGAAGGAAAACAAUCAGCUCUGUUCUCUCUGGGCCGAGGGAGUGAGCUGUAAUGAGGGAGCACAGGAACGCAUUGGGCGCCCUCAGACCUGAACACACAGGUUAGCACCACCUGCCUGGCUGACCUGGCUCACAGGUGCGCGGUUGCCAGUUGAGAAUAACUCAUCCAGGGUUGUUGAAUGGUGGAGGAUCUUCCAAAAUCAGCAGCUAGGAGGUCGAGAACCCUUCAUGCCAUACUAAGAAGUUUCAUGCUAGGCAAAGAAGAGUGACAAGGUAUUUCAACAGGUGAAUGAUAGGUACACAAAGAAGGAUUACCACAGGAAAUCCAGAGAGGCUUUAGAAGACGAGCUUGCGUUGAGAUAGAAGCCGGAAGCCCACUUAGCCAACUGCCUCCAUGGGACUUGGCAUGAGGCAGGCUUAUGACAGUAAAUGCUACACUGCCCUCAGUGAAAAAGAGAAUUUGGCAUUCAUUCUUCUGAACCCGCCAUCCCUCAGCCUUGGCGCCUGGGAAUUCUGCGAAUCGUUGCCUGUGGCAGUGACACUGAUUUGUAUCUGGGUAUGAACUUAAAUGAAAACAUGAAUUGAACUCAUUACUUGAGGAAGGAAACACUGCCAAAUUUAACAGGAUGAAAUUCCAGCAGGGUGUAAGGUUUUAUGGGGCUACAGUGGAAUAUCUCAUAGAAAGGUUUCCAGUUCAUAAAACACUUUCAAAACAUGCUCGGCCCUUUUAAGUUGAAGGGACAUUAUCAUUUCUAUCUAUGGCAUUUCUCUGCAAAUUGAACUCAAAUAUCCUUUGGGCUGACUACACAGAGAACAGAAGAAAGAAGUGGAAGAAACUUGGACUGAAGAUUGCCUCCCUGAAAAGGUUUUCUUCAGGCAGAAUUAGGUGAGAACAAAUGACAUCAGAAAGUAGCAUGUCAGUAUACUGCUGCCAGCUCCAUAUGGUUCAGCUUGUUUUCACAGGUAUUUAAUUAAUUCCACAAACAUAUAUUGAGUAUCAGAUGUGGGAUCCUGUUCAACACAUUUGGGGUACAGUAGUCAAUUAGUCUACUCUCAUGGCACAUACAUGCUGGAAGGAGAGAAAAACAAUAAAUAAAUGAACAAAAGAUGCAGUAUCAGGUAGUGAUCAUUGCUAUCAAGAAAAAUAAAGCAAGAGAAAAUGGGAUAGAAGGUGUCAGGGGUGCGGGGUGACAUUUUACAUAGUGUGUUUGGCAAAGGCAAUUCUCAGGUGGUGACAUUUGAACAGAAGCUUGAAUGAAGUGACCUACAUGUUGAAUCCAGAAAGCUAAUUUUAUAUAUAUAUAUUUUUGGAAGGGGGCAGGAGAUAAUAAGCUAGUAAAAGGGUUGGGAAAUUAUUUUGAUUCAAGGAUGCCCAGUUUAAAAAACUGUAAGAGACAGCCCCUCUUUUUCUCCCAGUAUAGCGCUUUCGGUGGCCAUUUGAAUAGAGCUCUGCAUGUUUCCUUGGGAUUUUCUGGUGUUCAUGGCAUAACAACCAGCCAGCAGUCUUCUGGCUGGACCACGUUUUACUUGCUAGCAAGGAGCAGAAGCUGUGGAAAUUGGCAUGUAGAGAUGUAAAAGGAUUUUAUACUUUUCAGCCUGGGCAGAAAAUUAUAGAGAAAAGUAGGUGGGAGUCAGAAAAACAUGAAAUGAGAAAGAAAAGCAUAAUCUGAGUGAGUUCUCUCUCUUUUUUUUUUUGUUUUCUAUGUUUAUCUUUCCACAGCUUUUUCACUGGCUCUGUUAAAAAGCAAAUAUCACUGCAAACUUCAUUUCAUUUUCUCUCAACAGAUGAAAUAAAGCUUGUUAAAAUGUUUUUCCCUUCUGUCAGGUGCAAACUCCAUGUUAGCAGGUUUGAAAACUUUCACAUGUUCAGAUAGCAAUGGAGGUUUUAACUUGGCCAACAUCAACAAACAAACCAUGAGUCCCUCACGUGUGCAAUGCUUGCAUAGAAUGAAAUUGAGUAUGAGCAUGUUUGCCAACCCUACUACAAAUGGUUUAUUUAGAAUAGUAGAAUGUGAAAAAUACAGAUUUAUUUUUAAUAGCUAGUACCAUGAUGAUUAUUGAUUUUUUCUUCCAGAUUAUUAAUUUAAAUAGCAAAAUUAUGCUACAUGUUUAAAAUAUGUCUGUAUCCUGAAAGUACUUAUUGUAAGCUUAAGCCCAGUCUUAUUUCUAAAAAGAUAAUUUGUAGGAGGUAUAAUUUUCAUUUGUAUUCAUGUAUAUUAAUAUAUUUUUUGGUGUUACACUGUUGCAUGAGGAUAGCUGUAAGGUCAGGAUAUUUAGGAAACCUCUGAAUUGAACAUUGAGCUUGUGGAUCUAAUAUUUAAGUAACUGGUUUCUGUCUACGUACUCUUUUCUCUUCCGUGGUAAGCCCUGCAGGCAAGCUCACUUCUCUAUGUUCUCAGUUGUAAAUGAGGAAAGUAGGACGAGGUAUGGAGCUGGAGGGUAAAUGGCAGAAUAGAAGACAGAGUGCCAUUCUGCGUAAGAGCACCACCUUUUGUGUUUGGCAGGCUUGGUUUUAGUCCUGAUUUUUCCAGGUCCAAGUAUAAUCUGGAGCAUUUCUCAAAUUCACUAAACCUCAGUUUCACCUUCUGUAAAACGAAGCUAUUUCAUUGAGUUAUUUUGGGUUACAUAUGUAAAAUUUACAGCCAAAUACUUAACACUCAAGUCUGUCAAGAAACAAUUCCAAAUAUUUUAUAAUAAAUAUAUAAAAAACUUUCACAAUUCAUGGAAUUUACUUCUUGAUUAGUUGCCAUGGUCUAUGGUUAUAAUGAAAUGUACUCUUGGCAGUCCUGGAUAGAGAAGCUCUUGAACCACAACCACAACCAUUACCUUGGAGAUGUCGAAACUGCCCUUUUCCCCGAGACCAUCAUUAGUGCUUUCCACGAACCUGGAUGAUAACCUCACGUUCACCUUUCAAAGCCAAGAAUAACAAGAGAAUUGAAUGUAAUGAUAAUGUUUCUUCUUAAAAUUAUGCCAAAUCCGACUUAGUUGAUGUGAGUUCUGCUUUUUAAAUUAAAGAAAGUACAAAGUCUAUUUUGUGGGUUGGCUAAAAGGGCACUGGUUAAAGAAAACAAUGGUUAUUUGUUUCUGAUGUACAAAUGAUCCACACAGACACAUCUUUAGAUGAAACCCCAAAUUCUUUACUGGUUGGGUUCUACAAAGAGUGACAGUAGUAAUUUGGUGAAGCAGCAGGGGGCAGAGGACUCUUGGUGGUAAGUUAACUUGAUUCUACUUUGAAAACUCUG